Molecule: non-coding RNA, 2053 nt
Organism: Tetranychus urticae (two-spotted spider mite)
Lineage: Eukaryota; Metazoa; Arthropoda; Arachnida; Trombidiformes; Tetranychidae
Source: RefSeq, a predicted model, not a curated record
GUUAGACUAAUCAACAUGGUAAAUUAUUUGUAAUUUAAUCGUUUAUAUCAAAAGUUAUCAAUUUUUUUAACAUUCAUUUUGAAUUCUGCUUCAUCAAAUAUCCUUUAAAUACUGAAAAAAUGGUAGUAAACCCAAUACAAAAGGGUCAAAUCUCGUACUGUUGACAUGUGAAAGCAAAAUGGUAAAAUUUUUGGUCCUUUCUGACUGUUUGAGAUUUAAUUAACACAAUUGAAUAAUUGACUGUCAAUUAAAAGCUGUAUUAAUGUUGCAAAAUACCAAUCUUAAUGUUGAAGUCAAUAUUUUUGAUAGCCUCCUGUGGUUAACCUCUAUUCCUGUCAAUUUAUCAGGUCAACAUUUACAAAAUGGGUAAACAAAAAACGAAAGGUUUGCUAAAAUGGGUUGAUUUGGAGAUUAAAAUUAAACUCACUGGUUUGGUUUCAGCAAUGUUAGUUGUUGGAAUUGGAAUGGUUGAAGCGAGUUUCACACAAACACGUAGCAUACAAUCUUGAACCUUUUUCCACUAUUUGGUUGAUAAAUGCUUCUGAUUCCAAUUCGCUGUUCAAUAGAAGGUUAAAUUCUGCAGUCUUUGGUAUUUUCAAGCAGAGAGUAGCUUCAUCUUAACACUCAAUUGAAUCGGAGGGGAAAGCUAGAUCACCAAGUUCGCUGCAGUUAAUAAAAAUUGUUGCAACUUAUCUUUCUCUCAAUGGAUAUUUAAUAACUCGUUCAAUAUGGAAACUUUCAUCAAUUCAUUAUGAAUCGCUUUGGAAAGUAUGAAGAUUGUGACCAAUGAAGACAAAAUGAUGGCCAAUAAAGAAAUGUCCAAAAAAAAAUAAAGAAAUAUCAACCCGAAAUUUCUUGCAAGAAUUGAGUUAAAAGUAAGGAAAUGAUUGAUUUAAAAAAAGGUAAAAUUAACUUUUGCCCUUGACUGUAAAUAAAAUCCCAUUUGCCAGAUGAAUUUCAAAUUGAAUAGACGAAAAUGUAAAUUGGUUGAAAAGUUAAAUUGAAAUUUUACCAAAUAUUUGAAUUACUCUACUUGACCAGCUUUCAAAGUGAUCCAUUAAAGCAAACCUUGAAAUGGACAUUCUUGAUGAUUAACAUACAAGAAAGUAACUUUGAUGUCAAAUGGUACAGAAAGUGAAGUUGCAUUGAAAAAUCAUUUUGUUUUCAAACUAAUGCUAAAUACUGUUAUAAACCUACAAUGAUGGCAAUGAAGAGCAUAAAUGCAGAGGAAAAAGGUAAAAAAAUGAUUUCUUUGCUCUUCUUUCUUCUUCUUUGGACUGAUCACUGUUGGAUAUCAACCACAAAAUGAUGCUGUCUGACACUUAGUAAGUGAUGAGAGAUGCUUUUUUGGUUGCUGUUGAAAGCGUAAGCGUAUAAUAAUGGUUUCGAGUGAAACUAAUGAUAGUCCAUACAUUUAGAGUGAUGAGUGAUCUAUUCACAUUCAUACAAUAUAUACAUAUAUAUAUAUUUAUAUUUAUCUAAAUAUACAGAAGGCAAUGUUGAUAAUGAUGAGUAUGAUGAUGUUGAUGAAGUUGGUGAUGAUGAUUGCUUUAAAGGCGGGUCUCUUCCAUGUCAACCUCAAUUUUGUUUUUCACUUACAGCUCCUUAAUUUUAACUGCAUCAGUGUUGAUUUAGAUUUUUCCUCUUCUCUCUCUUCUUCUAGAUGAUGAUCGUAAAAAAUGCGAAGAUGAUAAUGAGGGAAAAGCACGUCAAUAUCAUGGAGAAGAAAGAAAUGGGAUGAGAGGAACCAUCAUUAUCAUCAUUUUACAUCUCCACACCUUAACCUUGUCUAUUUAUUUUGGCAGAAAACAUGUUCAACGAAAGUUGAAAUUGAAUGAAAAAUGAUGCCAGAAUAAUCACUCCCAAUAACCAACUCCAAAUGAGUUUUAUUGCGAUAAAAAAAGUAAAGAAAGGAAAAGGAGAAACAAAAUCAACAAAACAAGAUGAAUGGUGAAGAGGAAAGCAAAAUGUUAUAAAAAAUGAUGGUUAAGCUCAUCAUUUUCAAUAAUGAUAAUAUUAUUAAUAAAUAUUGGUUGACAUUGAUAUAUUGAAA